This 397-nucleotide ribosomal RNA is filed under the name uncultured bacterium. Its description in RNAcentral is "partial 16S ribosomal RNA". It matches the Rfam family "Bacterial small subunit ribosomal RNA", at positions 523 to 918 of the family's 1533-position model. The record is from RNAcentral.
AUACGUAGGGGGCAAGCGUUAUCCGGAUUUACUGGGUGUAAAGGGAGCGUAGACGGUGUGACAAGUCUGAUAUGAAAACCCGGGGCUCAACUCCGGGAUUGCAUUGGAAACUGCCAUACUUGAGUGCAGGAGAGGUAAGCGGAAUUCCUAGUGUAGCGGUGAAAUGCGUAGAUAUUCGGAGGAACACCGGCGGCGAAGGCGGCUUACUGGACUGUAACUGACGUUGAGGCUCGAAAGCGUGGGGAGCAAACAGGAUUAGAUACCCUGGUAGUCCACGCGGUAAACGAUGAAUACUAGGUGUUGGGGGUCUAUAGACCCUCGGUGCCGCAGCAAACGCAAUAAGUAUUCCACCUGGGGAGUACGUUCGCAAGAAUGAAACUCAAAUGAAUUGACGGGG